UUAUUAGUCCCCAAGGACUGUAUGGGUGUGUAUACUGUGAUUGGUUGACAUCUUCCUGAGUCUUCUGUCAGCUUUGUUACACCCUGUUAGGGCAGGACAAAAUAUACCUUCACCAUUCGUGUGGGGAAUUUAGAUUUGUGGCCUCAUGGAGUUUCAUCAACGCUUAAGCCCCACCCACUAAACCUGAGCAGAAGUCUAAUCAGCCCAUAAUAACUGAAAACACCUGUGUGGAUGUUCACUUAGAGCCUCUAAUUGUAUUUGUAGAACUAAAGCCAAAGCUGUCUCAUUAAACAUUUCUCUGCAGUUUUAAAUGCCACCAAAGUCAGUCCUCUUAAGGAUGCCCUCAGCAUGUUCACUUCAUAUACAUAUUGAAAAUGAUUUUGAGACAUUUAAUUGCAAAACUUCAGGAUGCAUUAGAUAAGCUUAGGUCAAUAAAGCUGCCAUCAAAUGCACUAAUAAUUGGCAAUUGUGUUUUUAGGACAUAUUGCUACAGACUAAUUAACAUUCGUAAUGUCCUGUUUUUUUGAAAAUGUAUUACUUUGUCUUACAGGACGUGGUGUAUUUGCCCUAUCUUCAUUCUUCAAAGGAGAUUUUGUACUGGAAUACAGAGGAGACAUGAUAGAUGAUGCAGAAUCUCAAUGGAGAAGGUGCAUUUAUCACUCAUCAUGUGUUGCAUUCAUGCUUCAUUCAAGUGGAGAGGGAGAACAUGGUGAUGACCAUGAAUGCAGCUGAUGCUGUCAUUCCUGUGGAAAGCUUCCUGUAUGCUGUCUUGUUAGAGACGCAGAUGACUGAAACUUAGCCAUGAGACACUAAUCAACAGGUACAUUCAUGUUUAGCACCAACCUUACUCCUAGAAAUUUCUAACUCACCGUUUGUUGCUUUUGUGCCCUUUAAGCAGGUAAAUAAGCUGUUUUUUAAAUGCAUCUAGAAACAUAAUGGUAAUAGGAUAUUCAGGACAGAUUUGAAUGUUCAUAGGGAUGUUACUUUGUGAUAAAAUAUCACUCAUCUGGGACAUUCACGACGUCCCCAUAGCACAUCUUACAUCAUUGUAUGAAUAGAAACUGUGUGUUAAGUAUCUGACAACCUAGAGACUUGGUCUAGCAUUGGUCCCCAUAAGGAACCACGACAUGGUGUGUGAUAUGUCCCCACUAAGCUUGUUUAUUCAAUAUGUGGGAAAACAGGCAGAGGUUGAUGGAGGAGGAGGGGAAUAUUGAAUUUGAUGAUUUUGUCGUUGAAGUUUCGUGCCUGCUUGAAUUUAACAUUAGAAAUUUGUCAUUAAGAACAUGCAGUAGUGUAAAUAAAUACUGCACAUUACAUCAAAUUGAACACUUGUUUUUCAUAUUUAUGUUUACAAUUACAAUAUUUUAGAUGCAGUUAUAUUUUAAGGCUGUCUUUCAAACGUA
Molecule: long non-coding RNA, 1403 nt
Filed under: Dicentrarchus labrax (European seabass)
Lineage: Eukaryota; Metazoa; Chordata; Actinopteri; Moronidae
Description: lncRNA (ENSDLAG00005029109.1)
Source: RNAcentral